CCUCCUGUGGAUUCUGCUGCUGUCAAACCAGACGUGACUCCCGGGCCUCCGACAGAUCCAGAAACAUGUCGGCCGUCUCUGCCGCUGCUGUCCUCGCCGACUGCUGCUCGCACUGGACCUGUGAAGACAGGGGGGAGAGUGUUUGUGUUGGACCACAAGCGGUGGCCGGCCCCCAUGAAGGCAACUAUUGACAACCUGCUCAAUAAACACCGUGGCAUGAAGGACAUGCUCAAGCUAGUGGACCAGGACUAUGCUGCUCUAGUUCACAACUCUUGCACAGACCCAAACAACAUGCUCCACCCAACAACUAAACACCACAUCUUACAAUACGUUAAACACCUCUGCAAAUUACUGAACACCAGCUCGUCUUUAAACACCAGCCCGAAAAACUGCAAGAGCGGCAGGAACUCUGGCACGCUCUGACAAAGGGCAGCGAGACGACCCGGGUGCCGGUUGUAACAAUGCCUGUUGCAGUCGUGAACCCACCUCCACCUAGUCAGACCCUCACUAAAGCCUCUAUUGAGCAAAUUGUGCAAAAUAUUAUUGAAAAGCAACAACAGCAUCAGCAGCAACAACAACAACCAGUGGCUUCAAAGAAGCAGACAAAAACGUGCCUUUCCUGUGGUCAGCCAAAGUCCAGGUAUGAGAAUGAUGGUUACUCCAUCCACUUCUUCUACCAGCAGAUACUUUUACUGCUCCACUAAAGUUUUUAAAGCUUACGGUGCUGAGGGUCUGACAAACCCAAAAUGCCAUUUAAUGACUUUGCAGGAACACAGUUCUUUCAGCAGGAACUGUCUGCCACAAAGAAAAGGGUGGAGGAGAGAGGCCAGCAGAAGAGGAAGAGAACUGAAUCCCAGCACAGAACCCCAGAACACUGGUCCAAGGUGUCGCUUUUGUGGGAUGGGACUGAAGCAGGGCCCAAACAGCCCUCACAUUCACACCGGGUUCCCGGGGGUAGCAGGAAGUACGUUUAUUGUCCUGCCAAAGUAUUUUCCCUGUACAGAGACCAGGGCAUGGAGAAGGAGAUGACGUGGAGAGAGUUCAAGGCAUCUGCCUUCUAUGAGACGGGAAAAACAGAUGGGCCGUUGACAAGAGCAAAUAAGAGAGAUGGGCAGUGUUUUGUCAUGUAUAUAUCUUUUCUUAUUUUAAUAAUUACAUUCUUUUAUGAUAUAAAUUAUAUUUGUUUUACUAUUUUUAUUGUUUUUAUUGUUUGUGUGACCUUGCACUAUGGCCUGUGUGUUCAAUAUUUACUGUCCUUGUUGUGAAUAAAUAUAUUUCAUGGA
This is a long non-coding RNA of Pseudoliparis swirei, 1283 nucleotides long. RefSeq lists it as uncharacterized. Lineage: Eukaryota; Metazoa; Chordata; Actinopteri; Perciformes; Liparidae. The record is from RefSeq and is a predicted model, not a curated record. The transcript is spliced from 2 exons.